AUGGCUUAUUUCAGGUCCCGUGUAGGUAUAUUUUUGUCAUAAUUUAUUCCACCUGUGUCUGUCAGUUCCUUUCCCCUUGCCGCCUCCCGUGACAUUUUGGCUCAUGUUUCUUCAUAAGCUCUGAGCCAGUUAUUAAUAACAGCCCAGUGACUUUGUGAUCCACAAGGAACAUAUGGUGUUUUUCACAAGAGAGAGCUCAUUCUCUCGACUUUGGACUUCACUUACAGAACCCUCAAAAUUUCAGGUAUUAUAGAGGCAACACCCUCCUGAAAGGACGUGAGAAACACAAACAGCCAAGGGGGAAGUCACCCGUAGUCCUUCCAUUCAAACUUAUCUCACCACCAUUGACAUUUGUGUGUACUCUUCUGUUUUACAAAAACGUUGCAAUUCUGGAGUCUAAUGUAUGGACAGAAGAAUGCAUACAAUUUCUAUGUACAGUUUAACAGGAGCCAAGGUUGCUAAGAGACCACCUGUGCCGCAUGCACUUUGGUCUCCAACAGCAGACCCAGCAAAGACCGAGGAGCUGUCACCUCCCACCACCUGGGAUUCAUUCAGGCAACAGGAGUAUUCUGAAUAUGACUGGCAAAAACUGGAUAUUAAUUUCUACGACCACUCCCCAAAGUUUAGAAGAUGAAAUUGUGGGAAGACUUCUAAAAAUCUUGUUUGUUUUAUUUGUUGACUUAAUGUCUAUUGUGUAUGUUGUUAUAACUUCUUAGAAAGCAUUUUUUACUUUCCAUAUACAUUUCAAAUUGAAUCCCAGUGAAUAAAAAUGUGUAUUUUAAUUUGCUGAGUGAUGUUAAUUUGAUAUUAUAAAUUUACUGUAACAAGGCAUUAUAGUAGAAAUAAUCUUGUAUAUUACUUAGCACUUUAUGGUUUAUAUUUAAUGUUCAAGGAUCUACACUACUGAAUCACAAAAUUUAUUUUUUAAAACAUUACUAUUUAAUAUACUGACUAAAAUUUGCAGGUGAAAUUAUGAGUGAAAUUGAUUUUUA
Molecule: long non-coding RNA, 992 nt
Filed under: Cavia porcellus (domestic guinea pig)
Lineage: Eukaryota; Metazoa; Chordata; Mammalia; Rodentia; Caviidae
Description: lncRNA (ENSCPOG00000031738.1)
Source: RNAcentral